UUGAACGCUGGCGGCAUGCCUUACACAUGCAAGUCGAACGGUAACGCGGGGCAACCUGGCGACGAGUGGCGAACGGGUGAGUAAUGCAUCGGAACGUGCCCAGUAGUGGGGGAUAGCCCGGCGAAAGCCGGAUUAAUACCGCAUACGACCUACGGGUGAAAGCGGGGGACCGUAAGGCCUCGCGCUAUUGGAGCGGCCGAUGUCAGAUUAGGUAGUUGGUGGGGUAAAGGCCUACCAAGCCUACGAUCUGUAGCUGGUCUGAGAGGACGACCAGCCACACUGGAACUGAGACACGGUCCAGACUCCUACGGGAGGCAGCAGUGGGGAAUUUUGGACAAUGGGCGAAAGCCUGAUCCAGCCAUACCGCGUGAGUGAAGAAGGCCUUCGGGUUGUAAAGCUCUUUCAGCCGGAAAGAAAUUGCUUCUAUUAAUACUAGGAGUAGAUGACGGUACCGGAAGAAGAAGCACCGGCUAACUACGU
Molecule: ribosomal RNA, 480 nt
Filed under: uncultured bacterium
Lineage: Bacteria
Description: bacterial SSU rRNA
Rfam family: Bacterial small subunit ribosomal RNA
Source: RNAcentral